GGAUGAGCCCGCGGCCUAUCAGCUUGUUGGUGGGGUAAUGGCCUACCAAGGCGUCGACGGGUAGCCGGCCUGAGAGGGUGGACGGCCACAUUGGGACUGAGAUACGGCCCAGACUCCUACGGGAGGCAGCAGUGGGGAAUAUUGCACAAUGGGCGGAAGCCUGAUGCAGCGACGCCGCGUGGGGGAUGACGGCCUUCGGGUUGUAAACCUCUUUCGACAGGGACGAAGCCUCUUGGGGUGACGGUACCUGCAGAAGAAGCACCGGCCAACUACGUGCCAGCAGCCGCGGUAAUACGUAGGGUGCGAGCGUUGUCCGGAAUUACUGGGCGUAAAGAGCUCGUAGGCGGUUUGUCGCGUCGUCUGUGAAAUCCCGCAGCUCAACUGCGGGCUUGCAGGCGAUACGGGCAGACUCGAGUACUGCAGGGGAGACUGGAAUUCCUGGUGUAGCGGUGGAAUGCGCAGAUAUCAGGAGGAACACCGGUGGCGAAGGCGGGUCUCUGGGCCGAUACUGACGCUGAGGAGCGAAAGCGUGGGGAGCGAACAGGAUUAGAUACCCUGGUAGUCCACGCUGUAAACGUUGGGCGCUAGGUGUGGGGUGCUGUCCAUGUACUCCGUGCCGUAGCUAACGCAUUAAGCGCCCCGCCUGGGGAGUACGGCCGCAAGGCUAAAACUCAAAGGAAUUGACGGGGGCCCGCACAAG
This 700-nucleotide ribosomal RNA is filed under the name uncultured actinomycete. Its description in RNAcentral is "bacterial SSU rRNA". It matches the Rfam family "Bacterial small subunit ribosomal RNA", at positions 223 to 929 of the family's 1533-position model. The record is from RNAcentral. Lineage: Bacteria; Bacillati; Actinomycetota; Actinomycetes; Actinomycetales.